AACGAACGCUGGCGGCAUGCCUAACACAUGCAAGUCGAACGAGACCUUCGGGUCUAGUGGCGCACGGGUGCGUAACGCGUGGGAACCUGCCCUUAGGUUCGGAAUAACUCCCCGAAAGGGGUGCUAAUACCGGAUAAUGUCUUCGGACCAAAGAUUUAUCGCCUUUGGAUGGGCCCGCGUUGGAUUAGCUAGUUGGUAGGGUAAAAGCCUACCAAGGCGACGAUCCAUAGCUGGUCUGAGAGGAUGAUCAGCCACACUGGGACUGAGACACGGCCCAGACUCCUACGGGAGGCAGCAGUGGGGAAUAUUGGACAAUGGGCGAAAGCCUGAUCCAGCAAUGCCGCGUGAGUGAUGAAGGCCUUAGGGUUGUAAAGCUCUUUUACCCGGGAUGAUAAUGACAGUGCCGGGAGAAUAAGCGCCGGCUAACUCCGUGC
This 434-nucleotide ribosomal RNA is filed under the name uncultured bacterium. RNAcentral's name for it is "partial 16S ribosomal RNA". It matches the Rfam family "Bacterial small subunit ribosomal RNA", at positions 29 to 508 of the family's 1533-position model. The record is from RNAcentral.